AGAGUUUGAUCCUGGCUCAGAUUGAACGCUGGCGGUAUGCUUAACACAUGCAAGUCGAACGGCAGCACGGUCUAGCUUGCUAGAUUGGUGGCGAGUGGCGAACGGGUGAGUAACGCGUAGGAAUAUACCUUAAAGAGGGGGACAACUUGGGGAAACUCAAGCUAAUACCGCAUAAUUUCUUAGGAAAAAAGCUGGGGACCUUCGGGCCUGGCGCUUUAAGAUUAGCCUGCGUCCGAUUAGCUAGUUGGUAGGGUAAAGGCCUACCAAGGCGACGAUCGGUAGCUGGUCUGAGAGGAUGAUCAGCCACACUGGAACUGAGACACGGUCCAGACUCCUACGGGAGGCAGCAGUGGGGAAUAUUGGACAAUGGGGGCAACCCUGAUCCAGCAAUACCGCGUGUGUGAAGAAGGCCUGAGGGUUGUAAAGCACUUUCAGUGGGGAGGAGGA
RNAcentral lists this ribosomal RNA (447 nucleotides) under uncultured bacterium. RNAcentral describes it as "bacterial SSU rRNA". It matches the Rfam family "Bacterial small subunit ribosomal RNA", at positions 8 to 451 of the family's 1533-position model. The record is from RNAcentral.